CAGCAGCCGCGGUAAUACGUAGGGUGCAAGCGUUAAUCGGAAUUACUGGGCGUAAAGCGUGCGCAGGCGGUCCGCUAAGACAGAUGUGAAAUCCCCGGGCUUAACCUGGGAACUGCAUUUGUGACUGGCGGGCUAGAGUACGGCAGAGGGGGGUAGAAUUCCACGUGUAGUAGUGAAAUGCGUAGAGAUGUGGAGGAAUACCGAUGGCGAAGGCAGCCCCCUGGGCCAAUACUGACGCUCAUGCACGAAAGCGUGGGGAGCAAACAGGAUUAGAUACCCGCGUAGUCCCUGUCUCUUAUAC
This 301-nucleotide ribosomal RNA is filed under the name uncultured bacterium. RNAcentral describes it as "partial 16S ribosomal RNA". It matches the Rfam family "Bacterial small subunit ribosomal RNA", at positions 509 to 807 of the family's 1533-position model. The record is from RNAcentral.